GUUACAAACGUCACAUCUUUGAUAUUUUAUUUUUAAAGAAUUAUUUUACCAUAUUUCCUUUAAUAUUUCAUUAAUAAUUAUCUUCUUCUAAUUGGUUUACCCAUUUUCCCCUUUAAAAAUCGGUUGGCGCUCUCUUUUAUUACCUUCUUUUAUAAUCUUCUAUUUAAUAUAUCUCUUUCAUUUAAAUCAUCAUACUGAACAUACCUCGUAUAUUCAUACUCUCCAAAUAUCUGUAUUUUCAAUACGGAACAUGCCGCUACUUCAUAGUACUUGGUUGUCAUUUUAAACGUCGUUUUCAAUGACAGUGUCACUUCAUCGAUUUGACCCCCUACUCCCUGACAUACACUGGAAGGGAAAAAUUAAUCCUUAAAAAGGCAUGUAAUUCGAAAAAUAAAUCAUUUUAUUUCAACAAAUCAUCUUCCUCUUGGGUUUUUUGGAAAGAGAUCAACCUUUCCCUCUUCGGGAACUUAAGCCUCACAUCACCGGUGAUGCACACUUGAAGGCAAAGACAAUGACAUCCAGACUGCACAACCACCACCUCUAGCUGCAGGGGCCUUGCGCCGAAGAUCCGCCCAGGCCUACGAGAAGUCUACAACAGCAGAACCAUACGACAUCAAGAAGAUACCAUCAGCUACCAAAAGCCAUAAGUAUAAUCCAGAAUUGUUAGUUUUUGGCAAGAAUUUGAAUACAUUUGUUAAUGCAAUUUACUAAGUCAUUUUAUUUAUUAUAUCUUUAUGAACAAUAAACAUGAUUAGUUAAAAACUA
This 765-nucleotide long non-coding RNA is filed under the name Diabrotica virgifera virgifera (western corn rootworm). RNAcentral's name for it is "uncharacterized LOC126880724". The record is from RNAcentral. Lineage: Eukaryota; Metazoa; Arthropoda; Insecta; Coleoptera; Chrysomelidae.